Non-coding RNA from Dendryphion nanum, 84 nucleotides. The record is from the annotation of a GenBank genome assembly. NCBI's taxonomy places the organism in Eukaryota, Fungi, Ascomycota, Dothideomycetes, Pleosporales, Torulaceae.
GGUUGUGUAGUGUAGUGGUUAUCACUCCGGAUUUUGAUAACCUCAAUACUUCCGGCAACCCCGGUUCGAGCCCGGGCACGACCU